This 319-nucleotide ribosomal RNA is filed under the name uncultured bacterium. RNAcentral describes it as "bacterial SSU rRNA". It matches the Rfam family "Bacterial small subunit ribosomal RNA", at positions 32 to 332 of the family's 1533-position model. The record is from RNAcentral.
AAUCAACGCUGGCGGCGUGCCUCAGACAUGCAAGUCGAACGAGAACCUCCCUUCGGGGAGGAGACAGUGGCGCACGGGUGAGUAACACGUGGGUAAUUUACCUUUGGGUGGGGAACAACAGCCGGAAACGGCUGCUAAUACCGCAUAAUGCAGCGGCUCGACAUCGAGACAGUUGUUAAAGCGGGGGAGUCGCAAGACCUCGCGCCUGAAGAGAAGCCUGCGGCGGAUUAGCUAGUUGGUAGGGUAAUGGCCUACCAAGGCGACGAUCUGUAACCGGCCUGAGAGGGCGGUCGGUCACACUGACACUGACAUACGGGUC